RNAcentral lists this ribosomal RNA (488 nucleotides) under uncultured bacterium. RNAcentral describes it as "partial 16S ribosomal RNA". It matches the Rfam family "Bacterial small subunit ribosomal RNA", at positions 28 to 507 of the family's 1533-position model. The record is from RNAcentral.
GACGAACGCUGGCGGCGUGCUUAACACAUGCAAGUCGAACGGAAAGGCCCUGCUGUUGUGGUGUGCUCGAGUGGCGAACGGGUGAGUAACACGUGGGUAACCUGCCCUGGACUUUGGGAUAACUUCAGGAAACUGGGGCUAAUACCGGAUAGGAGCUCCUGCUACAUGGUUUGGUUUGGAAAGUUUCGGCGGUGGGGGAGGGACUCGCGGGUUAUCAGCUUGUUGGUGGGGUAGUGGCUUACCAAGGCUUUGACGGGUAGCCGGCCUCAGAGGGUGAACGGCCACAUUGGGACUGAGACACGGCCCAAACUCCUACGGGAGGCAGCAGUGGGGAAUCUUCCGCAAUGGGCGAGAGCCUGACGGAGCAAUGCCGCGUGAGUGAAGAAGGCCUUCGGGGUGUAAAACUCUGUCCUUAUCGAAGAGAGGGUGUUGUAGUAAUUGACAAUACUAGGACGGUAGAUGAGGAGGAAGCCCCGGCUAACUAUGUG